Molecule: ribosomal RNA, 142 nt
Filed under: uncultured eukaryote
Lineage: Eukaryota
Description: partial 18S ribosomal RNA
Rfam family: Eukaryotic small subunit ribosomal RNA
Source: RNAcentral
UGGUGGAGUGAUUUGUCUGGUUAAUUCCGUUAACGAACGAGACCUCGACCUGCUAACUAGUUCGCCGAAUCAUUCGUGAUUCGCGCUGGACUUCUUAGAGGGACUAUCGGUGCGUAGCCGAUGGAAGUUCGAGGCAAUAACA